AAUAAGUCAAAACUUUCAACAACGGAUCUCUUGGUUCUGGCAUCGAUGAAGAACGCAGCGAAAUGCGAUACGUAAUGUGAAUUGCAGAAUUUNGUGAAUCAUCGAAUCUUUGAACGCACAUUGCGCCCGCUGGUAUUCUAGCGGGGAUGCCUGUGCGAGCGUCAUUUAAACCCUUAAGCACAGCUUAGCGUUGGGAA
This 197-nucleotide ribosomal RNA is filed under the name Oxydothis inaequalis. RNAcentral describes it as "5.8S ribosomal RNA". The stretch from base 11 to 164 matches the Rfam family "5.8S ribosomal RNA". Rfam says of the family: 5.8S ribosomal RNA (5.8S rRNA) is a component of the large subunit of the eukaryotic ribosome. It is transcribed by RNA polymerase I as part of the 45S precursor that also contains 18S and 28S rRNA. Functionally, it is thought that 5.8S rRNA may be involved in ribosome translocation. Lineage: Eukaryota; Fungi; Ascomycota; Sordariomycetes; Amphisphaeriales; Oxydothidaceae. The record is from RNAcentral.